AUGAAACAUAUACAAGGUCCGUUUGCACAAUUUUCAUCUUUUCGUCUACUUUUUAAGCCUGUGUGUGCUUUGGGGCAUUUUCCACGGCACAGAUUUAUAACAGUGAAUUUAUCUAAUCCUCCAUGAUGGACAGUAACGUGAGGAAAUCAGGGAGAACGAACGUAACGCAAUUUUCGCUGCCAGUUAUUCUUUUGUCAUGGCGGGGAGGCGUGUGUGAGGCGGCGCGGGGUCACUAUUAUUGUUAUUUUGACGAGUGUGCGGCGCGGGGCGAGGGGUCCUUCACGCGGGUUCAGGAGGGACACACGGGGCACCGCUGGACGACCCUGCUGUGUGUGUGUGCGGAGGCAUAGGUGAGGGGCGGGCAGGUGGCUCGGGGGUCAUGUGGGCAGUGUCGCAAGUAGGCCGGGGCGCGCCGUGAUGCCCUGACCCCCGCUGAGCCCUUAAUGACGCCCCUGCCACCACACCACCGCCACCUCUACCACUACCACCGCCACCACCCACCAUAACCGCCGCCUCCGCUAAAGGUCCCGACGAAGGUGUUCAGCGGGCGGGCGGCGGUGGGUCGGGGGCCACAUGGGGACUGCCGCAAGUACGCCGUCGAACCCAAGCCUUCAACUCAGGGCAGGGCGCGAUGGGCUGAACCCCCACUGAGCCCUUAAUGUGACCCCCCACCCACCACCUCCACGCACCACCACCACCAC
Molecule: long non-coding RNA, 701 nt
Organism: Eriocheir sinensis (Chinese mitten crab)
Lineage: Eukaryota; Metazoa; Arthropoda; Malacostraca; Decapoda; Varunidae
Exons: 3
Source: RefSeq, a predicted model, not a curated record